Molecule: ribosomal RNA, 472 nt
Filed under: uncultured bacterium
Lineage: Bacteria
Description: bacterial SSU rRNA
Rfam family: Bacterial small subunit ribosomal RNA
Source: RNAcentral
AGGACGAACGCUGGCGGCGUGCUUCAUACAUGCAAGUCGAACGAUAAGGUCUCUUCGGAGAUACAUAAGUGGCGGACGGGUGAGUAAUGUGUAGAGAAUCUGCCCUAGAGUGGGGGACAACAGUUGGAAACGGCUGCUAAUACCCCAUAUGAGCGUACCUGUGAUGGUAUUCUUGAAAGAUUUAUUGCUCUGGGAUGAGUCUGCAUCUGAUUAGCUAGUUGGGGGUGUAAUGGACCACCAAGGCGACGAUCAGUAGCUGGUUUGAGAGGAUGAUCAGCCACAAUGGGACUGAGACACGGCCCAUACUCCUACGGGAGGCAGCAGUAGGGAAUUUUGCGCAAUGGGGGAAACCCUGACGCAAGCAACGCCGCGUGAUUGAAUAAGCCCUUCGGGGUGUAAAGAUCUGUCAGUGGGGACGAAACUUGACGGUACCCACAGAGGAAGCAUCGGCUAACUCCGUGCCAGCAGCAGC